UCAUUUUAAUACAUACAUUUUAAAGAUUGCUUUCUCAUCUCAAUACUCAUCCCAAUAUUCUUAUUAAAGUAAGACUGACGAAAUAAUAUAAAAAAAUACAUGGAGAGCUGCAUGGAAAGACCAUGGCGGAAAUACAGGUGAGAAGAGGGAAUGAAGGCAGCGGCCACCCACGAGGAGGUGGACGCAGCACACAGCCCUGGAUAACUGAGCCGGACUUGGAGGGAUAAAUAGGUGUUAGCUGUAGAGGUAUAAACCAUACAUUCAGGAAGCUAGCAGCUCUGAGAGAGAAAUGGGACGCAUUAGGGGAUGGCACACAGAGGAAGACGGGAAUGCAAACACAGAUGGACAGAAAUUGGAAAUACCUGUCAGUGCACUAGCUUUUCCUAUGUUGUAUUCCAUGAGAAAUCAUCAGAGGUCAGUGGUGGUGGCACACACCUUUAAUCCCAGCACUCGGGAGGCAGAGCCAGGUGGAUCUCUGAGUUCGAGGCCAGCCUGGUCUACAGAGCGAGUUCCAGGUCAGCCAGGGCUACACAGGGAAACUCUGUCUCAGUGGGAAAAAAAAAAAAAAGGAGAGAGCGAGAGACAGAGAGAGACAGAGAGAGACAGAGACAGAGAGACAGAGAGGAGGGGAACUCAUCAGAGAACUGCAGAGAAAGACAACACUCUGGAGAAGAGGCCCCCUCACUCUCACUAGUUGUGACUUCAAGCAAGUACACUGUACCUGGGCUCCUCUUGGGAAAACAGUACUUAGCUAAGAGGGUAAUUGUGAGGGUUGUGAUAGCUAUGGUACCUUAAGACACCGUCUCACUGCCUGGCAAGUAGUAAACAGUGUAUAUUAGGAUACUGUUGUUGCUGUUGCUGCUGCUGCUGCUGCUGCUGCUAAUGAUAUUAACAAAAAAUUAACUGGAAGGGAAGAGAGUGUCAUGGUUCCCCUGAAAUGACUGGCCACAGUGUACUCUCCACUUUGUAGCAGAAGCAAAGGAGAAUGGACAAAAUAACCGGCUUGUUUGCAUAAGGAGUGGUGGUCACAAGACCAAGAGCACUGAAUUCGGACUCUCACAUUUUAACCAGGAGCGCUCUCCUGAAGCCCACCUGAACGUUUCCUGCUCUCUACUACUUUUCCUGUUUUUCUCACUGUCCAUACUGCCCAACACGACUGGCAACCCACCACAGUUAAGCACAGUAUGUGUGAAAGACAGCAUCAUUUUGGUAGUUCUGUUUUAUAGCUUUGCAGAAACCGUUUUUGAAACAGAAUGAGCUACAGAAGUGUUGGAGGGAGGCAGUCUGAGUGUGAGAAAUGGCUAAAGGGAAGACAGGAAGUUAAGAGAUAAGGGUCAUUUAAGGAAACCUCAAAGAGGCGACUCAAAAAUGGAUCGGACCAACUGAAACAGGUAUGUGAGAGACUAGGACAAGAUGUAAAACUUUACAUCGGAAAUGGCAUAGGCUACAGAUGACCUGGGGAAGUCCAGGAUGGAACAGGAACAACCUUCUGGAAGAGUAUUUUGGGCAGCUCACACGCCAGCCCAAGCAGAGCAAGACAAGGCAGAGGACCGUGUGAGGAGCAGCAUCACAAGUUGGUGCAGUGCAGUGCCAUCUGACACAAACCUUUAAAGGGAAAGGGACUUGGCAACACACAUGAGAAGCCACAAAAAUAUUUACCCCAUCUGACCCAGAACUCCUACUCCUAUGAGUUUAUUUUAAUGAAGCCAUGUAGAGUGAGAGAAAAAUUAUCUAUGUAAGCACAUUCAAGACAUAUAUAGUAAGAGGCGAGCUGAAUAAUCAACACUGAAAAACGUGUAUGUCAAAAUAUCCUACCCAUCUGAUAAAAUACUGUGUAACAACUAAAAGAAAGGUGAUGCAUUGGGGUUAUUUUAUAAUAAAAAUCUUAAGAAUGAAGGAUAGAGUAAGUGAACAGGGGAGGGAAGAAGGGGGAGUAGAGGAGGUCAUGAAUCUGAGGCUAGACUUAGGAAUUUACAGAGCCAGGGGUCACGGAAGCCUACAUUAAAGAUGAGGAGGCAGCAGGCUAAUGUUCUCAGGGCUGCUCAGUAGAGGCUCCCUAUAAAUGAAAAUAAUUAUACUUAGAAACCAAGAAGGCUCAGUUUUUGCCACUCAACAUAAAAUAUUAAUUCCGUAAAUUAUUUGGAAUAAAUGUGUCUACUUGUUCAAACUUAAUACUUCUCCUAAAUGUUUUUUGGCAUUUAUAAGCAGAGGACAGGGAAAAAAGUAAUUCUUAUUUGGAAAGAUACUCAGUAAGUUACAAAAAUAUCUUCUAAGUGUUUCCUACAUAGAAUUAUUUUUUUAGGUGAGAAUUUAGAAUAGUACCAAGGGCUAAUUUUUCACUUUUCUGUUGCUUUUUCAUAGCAAGUAUGAUCAAAAAAUAAUAAUUUCAAAUAAUAAAUUUAAAGUAAUAAUAAAAACAGCAUUUUAAAAAAUAACAGAAGUUUUCAAAGGCCCCAUAUAGCCAGCAUGAAAGCUUAAUUUAACUGGAAAAUAUACUAGCAUGGGGGGCACUAGUAUAUUUUCCAAUUAAUGAUCCAUUAAACUCUGAAUGGAUCAAGCUAUUUAGAAACUCAACCCCAGAGACCACUGUACCCAGCAGAUGCUGAAUUAUAUAAGGCUGGCUUCACUUACCCAAGCUAAAUCAGACCUAACAUGCUCUCCUACCUCUCCUUCCAACGCUUCUUAAAUACUUGUAAUUUUUUGAGACAGGGCUUUCUGAAUGUUCCAGGCUGGCCUUUCAAUCUUGUCGCCUUACUCCCCUUUCUAAAGCUCAAAUGAUGGGAACACGUGCCUCUCUAGAGCUGUUAGCCAACUAACAUUCAUUUCCAGAACAGGAGCAAGUUGAAUAUAAAUCAAAGAGUAAAAUCACUGUUCAACUUAAAGACCAGGCAAGCAAGAACCUCUCGGUGACACACCAGACUCAUGUCUGCAGGUUUUAUUACUAUGAGAGGCCCCCCAAGAAAACUCAGCCAUCAGAUAACCUACUGCUCAUUAAGGGCAAUACUGGUCAGGCUGCACUUGACAAUCCAUAAGGUUUUCCUUCCUCUUUUACAUGGUACAGCUGGCACCUUGCACAUGGUAGGUAGGCAUUAAAUGGCCACUACUGUUGUUACUGCAUGGUCUCUGCUCUAGUAUCUGGCUAAAUGCUGACCUACUAGAGAAUUUGGUGAUGUCUACAAGUACACUCAAAGACUACUUCUUAGGAGUCAAAACAGACUGUAAAACAAUUUGGAAAUAAGUACAAUGUGUAACAAGGAUAUCUCUAUGCAAAAACCUAGGGCAAGCCCAAAGUCAAGGCUCAGCCUCAAAAAUGGAAAGCAAAACAUCCUUCUACAUGGUCCAGGAUAUUUAAAUCCCCAUUCAAAUGCAGAGGCUGCAUUUCUAGAACUGUUUCCUUGUUAGCUUUCCCCUAGUCACAUUCGUCAAGCAUAUAAAUGAUGAGCUCAAGACUACCAACAGUCUUCCUGUCCCGUAACUAACUCUUGGAGAUCUACUUAAGUGACAGUAUCUUAAGUAACUUUUUCAUCAUUCAUCUGACCAUCAAUGUGCCAUACUUCCAAAAUGGAAUCGUGUUGGAGAUGGCUAUGGGACAGUGACAUGCCCAGGUGGCCUCUGUGGCUUGCAUGUCAUCUCUGGAUUGAUCAGUCACAGUUAAUCAAGUCAGUUUCUUCACCUAUUAAGUGACAGGUUUGGUUCUAUUUUCCGGAGCACUGUACUGCUUCCUUCGCAACUGCUGAGCCCUAAGUUCUCUGCCUUUAGUUACAGAAUCAACUGUUUAUUUUGAGAUGUGUUGCCAUAGCUUAGACUACCGAAGCUCUCGGUCUUCCUUCAAGUCUUUUCUGACAAAAGGGUUAAGUAGAGAGGCUCUUUACCAUCAUUAGCUUCACUGGCAUGGGUGCUGAGGUUCAUUGUAACACUGUGAUUUUGUUGUUCUUUUCUUUUCUUUUUUAAGACAGGGUUUCUCUGUGUAGCCCUGGUGUUAUCCUGGACCUUGCUCCGUAGACCAGGCUGGGCCUCCAAAGUGGAGAUCCACCUGCCUCUGCCACCCGAGUGCUGGGAUUAAAGGCAUGCAUCAUCACCACACAAGAAACAGCUACUCUUAAUUUAAAGAAUUAUUUUCCUAUUCUGAAGCAACUUACCCUUGACAAACAGACAAGUUUUUUUCUUUCUGGGAUAGAGAUUUCUCUCUCUAGGAUAACAAGGGCCAGCGAAUGAAGCAAGAAUGCUUGGAAAUGAAUUUCUGUACUACAGUAGAAAUUGGGUGUAUUCUGGAGUCACACAGCUAUUGGCUGCUCUGAAAGUGGUAGGAGAUACACCAUGGUGAUGAUACCGCUGGAGGUGCAAAGGUUAAGAUGAGGAGUGGGGAAGGUCCCCAAAUGUCUUAACCGUGUUACAUCAACUCAGUGCCAUACGCCUUGUUGGAGGCAAACAGCCCUGGGCUCCCGCAGCAGCAGCCCUGCUCUAAGUGCUUUAAACACAGAACCCUUCAGUCCUGACCAAAGCCCCAGGAUAUGAGGCUUCUCUCCUCAUUUGACAGAGGAAGAGAGAGUGCAGCAAAGUUAAGCACCACGGACUUGGCCACAUGCAUUGUAAACUGAAGAUCAGCAUCCAGGGAGUCCGGCUCUAGAGCCUGUCCUCUGGCCACACCACCUCAUCAAAGAUCCAGACUAUUAACUCCUCAUAACUUAACGGGGAAGACCUCAUAGACACUAUGCUCAGUGCUUGGCAUUGCACUUCAAUGAAUCUCAUCCACACAAUAAAUAAAAAGAAUGGUGUUUUAAUCCCUCCUUUUCAGACAAGGCAACUGGGACUUAGAGGCUUGAAAUAACUUAUCCACAGUCAUGAAGCUAUUAACAGCAGAACUGAGACCAGAACCGAGGUUUAUCUGAUGCCAGACCCUGUCUUCUUUCUGUCUACUUGCAACAACCAGCUUAUGAGAAAAGAUAACAUAAAGAGCCCUCCUCCUCUUCUUCCAGACAAUGAACUAAUUUCUCUCGGCAUCAUCUAUUCCUCUUCUGUUUGGACUCAAUGCUCCAUAAUCACUUCUUACUCAGAACAUUUUUCAUAUCCACUUCUCCAGACAAGAAAACUGAAGAGCAUGCCGUCCAUCUAUUUUCUCGGGGUUUCCGACUCACACCCAUCAAUCAGUUUACUUCUAUUCUUACCCGACUACUCACAGCACAGGUCACCUUCCUAAUCAUGUCACACAGUUUCUCCCUUUGAGGGGCAGUGCUGCGAUGCAACGUGAAGCUCACCUACUUCCUUCGUGCUCCAAUCAGCCCUACUCCACGGUUCCUACUAUAACUGAUAGUAAACAGGAGUGCUUUCUCCUAAAAGAGCUAACUGGUCCCCGUGACACCAGAUCAGAACAUUCUCAGGCUUGACCACAGAGUGUGUCUGGGAAUCUCUGAAGCACUUCAGGACAUCACCUUAAACAACAGAUGAUCCUGACAACACUGGAAACAUUCACAGUAUGAAAGGGGAAGCUAAGCUCAGACAAUACAUGGCCAUGAGUGACAGGAACAUCAAGGAGAUCCCCCUGAGGGGAGAUCAAGGAGAGGAAGGGAUAAACUGGAGGAAGCCAAUAAAUAGAGGACCUAAUUGGUUUUGCCACAAAACAAUGACAAGGGGACUAAGAUCUCAGUGUAGGUUUUUCCUCCUCCUUUCCCUGUAGAAGAAAGUUCCCAUUAUUGCUGGGUAUCUGGCAUAUAGUAAGUGCUAAAUAAACAUUAGUUAAUUCAACACAAUAGCCAAAUUAUUAUACUUCCUUUUGAAAACCAGCCUGUAGCUCCCCCAUAUCUUCUCUGGAAAGCAAUAAUAAAUCAAGUUAAAAUAAUACAAUCUACGAAAUAUGUACACCUACGCAUGAAAUGAGUUUCUCCUAAAUUAGGCAGACAUGCUCAACCCUGAAGCAUAUCAGGUGAAGGGGCUAAGACGUGACUAGAAUACAGCCCGUGUAUGCGCCCAAAGAAAGCCGCACAGCAAAAAAGGCACUAGACAGCAAGACUCAAAUCUCAGUUCCGUCUUCAUUAGCUGGUUCUUUGCACCUCGGUUUCCUCAUCUAUAAAAUGGGAAGGAUGAUACCAUCUACCCUAUAAAUAAUCUGAGGAUCAAAGGAGAUCACAUACAAGACAUCAACGCCUGGAAAACCAUACAAUAGUAUUGGUACAUAAAGAACUGCCAUCGUUGCUGGACCCGCUCGAUAGCCCCCGCCUCGCCGGCCCGGACGAUGGAGAGGGCGCGCUCUUCAUCCAUGGCCGCAGGUGCGGGGGAGCCGCGGCCGCUCUGCGCGCCCCAGCCGCUGCCUCCCAGAAUAACCAAAUCUUGGUCCUUGAUCACGUAUUGGCCAUGCAUUCCUUGGAAAAUGACAGAGGAAAAGCUGUCAUUCUUGUACAGUGUGUGGAAUGCCACCUUGGGUGGAGGGGAAGAUCUGGAGCCUCGCUUAGGAACUGCCUUGGUUUAAUGAGCACAGUUUCCCAGAACUUCUGAGCGUCUCCUGGGCACCGAUGUGGGAUGACUUGAGCCCUGGCAAAGGACACAGCAGGACAAAUGCCGAGGACGCCAUGGACCUGCAGCGUGGGUGACGUCCUGGCUAAUGUUCAUGACUUCAGCCAGUCUCAAGCUGUCAGAGGCCCUUUCAAGAAAAUGUCCUAUUGCCAGGAUUCUCUGCUUUUCUUGACAAGUGACUGGCCCCACUCCCAGCUGCCAGCCUGGCCCAUCCCAGCUCUGCCGACUGGAGAGGAACCAUCAGAAAGAGAAGAUACCUUGAGUCCUGCCCCCAGCCGCUGUUGCCUUUCCUGGUUAGAGCCUUUCCAUGACUUACGGUGAAGGUUUUAGCGUGUUUGGGAACAAAGAUCGUGCCCUUCGCUCCUAGGGAGGAUGCCCUGUGCCCGCUGGCCCUCAUCUCAAGCUGCUUUCUUUGUUGGUAUCACUCAUUCCUGGUUUAAGCUGUGAGGACCAUGCACUUACUUGGAAAGUCAUGAAACCUUCCCUUCUCUUUCUCUCAGCCUCAGGUUCUCGUCAAAGCUGACAAGUUUUCACCUAAAGCCCUUGCAGCUCAUGAACUAGUUAGUGGCUGUUGUUUGUAAAUGGGUGCUGUUUAUCCUGUUACCUGGUUAGAGAAUUUGAUAAUGACUUGUGGUUUGUUGUUGUUUGGGCUUUUUCUUUUGUUGUGUUUUGUUUUUGUGCUCAUUAAGUCAAAGGUCAGACACACCACACCUUUGUUUAUACAGCACUCACUUUCAAGUCUGAGAGACCAAUAGGGCCGGUCAUCCUGAGGUUUAUUCUCAACAGCGGCUAAAUUCAAAAUUUCAUUCAUCUUCUCUCUUGCUUUCAUCAUAUAAAGCUAAUGGAUUGUGAACAAAAGGUCAAACUAAUUUACCAUGAGAGAAUGAGAUCCAGUGUCUGUGUUCUUUUUUGUAGAAUAACACAGCUGAAUAUACUUAAGGGGAGGCUAUGUGUAACAUAAAUAAUUUCCAUCUUAAAAUCAUCUUUCAGGUAUAAACAUCUUAUGUAAUAGCACACAAGGGCUUGGCUUUAAAAAUAAAUUUUUCAAAAUGCAAAUGAAGUUGUCACCUCCUCAUACCUUAGGGUUAACACAGUCACUCCUGCACAGGCUUCCAGAAGUUUAUGGCUCUGACUCUCUCUUAGCUCCUAGAUCCUUAACAUUUGGGCAAAAUGAAACUACUUCUUUUGUACCCUACGCCCCUUCAUCACAGAAUCAAAAUGCUGUGCUGGAGAAGAAUUUCAUUCUUGUUGAGUAUUCAGGGGUGUUACUGCUCUGUUUAUUCUCAUUUAAAGCAAGGCACUUGAAUAUCUUUACACCCAAUGAGCAUCGAAGCACGAUGAAUUUAGUACCAGGGGAAUGCUUAAUGCUGCUGCUGCUGCUGCUGCUGCUGCUGCUGCUGAAGAUGCUCCUGCAAGAGCUGCAAGGCAAACGUAGGGCAGAUCCCAGUUGGUAGAGCAGAUCUACAAACCUUCAAUGGGCUACAGGUACUAUACUCACUCGGUCAUUUGUCAGGACGAGAUGUGUGGACCUGCCCGAACUGUAUGAUUGUUUUAUGACAAGUUGAAAGGGAACUGAAUAAACAAAACCACACAGUCAUACAAGGCUUUUGUUGUUUG
Long non-coding RNA from Peromyscus californicus insignis, 8124 nucleotides. RefSeq lists it as uncharacterized. Lineage: Eukaryota; Metazoa; Chordata; Mammalia; Rodentia; Cricetidae. The record is from RefSeq and is a predicted model, not a curated record. The transcript is spliced from 5 exons.